UAUAUAUUAGUGUAUUUUGCACGUAAAUUUUUGAUAUUUAAAGAUUAGUUAAAUUCUAAUAUAUAUAU
This 68-nucleotide transfer RNA is filed under the name Rhyacophila kando. RNAcentral's name for it is "tRNA-Gln". Lineage: Eukaryota; Metazoa; Arthropoda; Insecta; Trichoptera; Rhyacophilidae. The record is from RNAcentral.